CCAAUCGAACUCGGAGAUAGCUGGUUCUCCUCGAAAUAGCUUUAGGGCUAGCCUCGCAGUAAGAUACCCGGAGGUAGAGCACUGAAUGUUCUAGGGGCCUUCACCGGUUACCGAAAACUAUCAAACUCCGAAUACCGCAGUAUUAGCUCUGGGAGUCAGACUACGAGAGAUAAGUUCCGUGGUCAAAAGGGAAACAGCCCAGACCUACAGCUAAGGUCCCAAAAUGUAAGUUAAGUGGAAAAGGAUGUGGAGCUGCAUAGACAACUAGGAUGUUGGCUUAGAAGCAGCCACUCAUUUAAAGAGUGCGUAAUAGCUCACUAGUCGAGUGACUCUGCGCCGAAGAUAAACGGGGCUAAAACUUACUACCGAAGCUUAGGAUACAGUAAUGUAUGGUAGAGGAGCAUUGUAUACGGGCAGAAGCCUGACUGGAAGGGAAGGUGGACUGUAUACAAGAGAGAAUGUUGGCAUGAGUAGCGUAAGGCAGGUGAGAAUCCUGCCCGCCGAAAAUCUAAGGUUUCCUGAGGAAGGUUCGUCCGCUCAGGGUUAGUCGGGGCCUAAGCCGAGGGCGAAAGCCGUAGGCGAUGGAUAACAGGCAGAGAUUCCUGUACCACCGGAGGUCGUUAUGAGCGAAGUGGGGACACAGAAGGAUAGACUGAGCACGCCGCUGGUAGAGCGUGUCCAAGCAGUAAGGCUGAUAUGUAGGCAAAUCCGCAUAUCGAAAGGCUGAGCUGUGACGGGGUGGCAAAAGAGCCGGAAGCAGUUGAUUUCACGCUGUCAAGAAAAUCCGCUAGCAAGACCCGAGGUGCCCGUACCGCAAACCGACACAGGUAGAUGAGGAGAGAAUCCUAAGGCGAGCGAGAGAACCAUUGUUAAGGAACUCGGCAAAAUGACCCCGUAACUUCGGGAGAAGGGGUGCCUGCUUCGGCAGGCCGCAGUGAAAAGGCCCAGGCAACUGUUUACCAAAAACACAGGUCUCUGCAAAAGCGAAAGCUGAAGUAUAGGGGCUGACGCCUGCCCGGUGCUGGAAGGUUAAGGGGAGAGCUUAGCGCGAGCGAAGGUUUGAACUUAAGCCCCAGUAAACGGCGGCCGUAACUAUAACGGUCCUAAGGUAGCGAAAUUCCUUGUCGGGUAAGUUCCGACCCGCACGAAAGGCGUAAUGAUCUGGGCACUGUCUCAACAAUAGACUCGGUGAAAUUGUAGUACCGGUAAAGAUGCCGGUUACCCGCAGCAGGACGGAAAGACCCCAUGGAGCUUUACUGUAGCUUGAUAUUGAAUUUCGGCGUUGCAUGUACAGGAUAGGUGGGAGACGAAGAGAUGAGUACGCCAGUAUUCAUGGAGUCACUGUUGGGAUACCACCCUUGUAACGUUGAGGUUCUAACGGUGUGCCGUAAACCGGCAUCCGGACAGUGUCAGGUGGGCAGUUUGACUGGGGCGGUCGCCUCCUAAAGAGUAACGGAGGCGCCCAAAGGUUCCCUCAGCGCGGACGGAAAUCGCGCGAAGAGUGUAAAGGCAGAAGGGAGCUUGACUGCGAGACCAACAAGUCGAGCAGGGACGAAAGUCGGGCUUAGUGAUCCGGUGGUUCCGAGUGGAAGGGCCAUCGCUCAACGGAUAAAAGCUACCCUGGGGAUAACAGGCUGAUACCCCCCAAGAGUUCACAUCGACGGGGGUGUUUGGCACCUCGAUGUCGGCUCGUCGCAUCCUGGGGCUGUAGUAGGUCCCAAGGGUUGGGCUGUUCGCCCAUUAAAGAGGUACGCGAGCUGGGUUCAGAACGUCGUGAGACAGUUCGGUCCCUAUCCGCUGUGGGCGUUGGAAAUUUGAGUGGAGCUGUCCCUAGUACGAGAGGACCGGGAUGGACGUAGCUCUGGUGCACCAGUUGUUCUGCCAAGAGCAUAGCUGGGUAGCUACCUACGGACGGGAUAAGCGCUGAAAGCAUCUAAGUGCGAAGCCCCCCACAAGAAAAGAUUUCCUCCUUUAAGGUAAGACCCGUGAGAGACUAUCACGUUGAUAGGCCUCAGGUGUAAGUGCAGUAAUGCAUUCAGCUGAGAGGUACUAAUAGGUCGAACGCUUAACCAA
Molecule: ribosomal RNA, 2073 nt
Filed under: human gut metagenome
Description: bacterial LSU rRNA
Rfam family: Bacterial large subunit ribosomal RNA
Source: RNAcentral